UUGGAGGGCAAGUCUGGUGCCAGCAGCCGCGGUAAUUCCAGCUCCAAUAGCGUAUAUUAAAGUUGUUGCAGUUAAAAAGCUCGUAGUUGAAUUUCGGGAUCAAUAUGUCGGUCGUGCUUUUGGUACGUACUGGCAUCAUUGGUUUCUCCCUUCUGACAAACCAUGAUGUCAUUAAUUUGGUGUUAUGGGGAGUUAGGACUGUUACUUUGAAAAAAUUAGAGUGUUUAAAGCAGGCAUUAGCUUGAAUACAUUAGCAUGGAAUAAUGAAAUAGGACGUUUGACCCUAUUUUGUUGGUUUCUAGGAUCGACGUAAUGAUUAAUAGGGAUAGUUGGGGGCAUUAGUAUUCAAUUGUCAGAGGUGAAAUUCUUGGAUUUAUUGAAGACUAACUACUGCGAAAGCAUUUGCCAAGGAUGUUUUCAUUAAUCAAGAGCGAAAGUUAGGGGAUCGAAGACGAUCAGAUAGCGUCGUAGUCUUAACCAUAAACUAUGCCGACUAGGGAUCGGAUGAUGUUAAUUUUUUAAUGACUCAUUCGGCGCCUUACGGGAAAC
RNAcentral lists this ribosomal RNA (549 nucleotides) under uncultured Glomeromycotina. RNAcentral describes it as "SSU rRNA". It matches the Rfam family "Eukaryotic small subunit ribosomal RNA", at positions 548 to 1098 of the family's 1831-position model. The record is from RNAcentral. Lineage: Eukaryota; Fungi; Glomeromycota.